Molecule: long non-coding RNA, 3843 nt
Filed under: Sus scrofa (pig)
Lineage: Eukaryota; Metazoa; Chordata; Mammalia; Artiodactyla; Suidae
Description: lncRNA (ENSSSCG00025027396.1, ENSSSCG00035023325.1, ENSSSCG00065071098.1)
Source: RNAcentral
AUAUAUUAUUUAAUAAAAAGAAAUGCACAGAAACAAGAAUUUCAAAACCUCAAGAAACAAAUAUAAAUUAUAGAAAUUAACAUGCAAUUGAUACACCUCUGGAAAGGAAAAAUACUAUUUACUACAAACAGAUUUGUCUUUAACAUCAAGUAAUAUUUUACUUUUCAUUCAAGAAAACAGAAAUAGGAUGGUACCUAGAACUCAUGCAUUACUUUCAAUUAGGGUGCACUGCACUCCCUCACACCAGCCAACUGCACUGAAAUUCCCUGUGUGGUUUGAGGCAGUUCACAGAGUUCUCGAGCUACAAGCUUCCUGACGAUUUAGACCAGAAGAUUUUGUUGUGGUCUUUUCUCACUGUAUCUAAAAUGAACAGAUAUUAACACUGACCUGUUAGGAAGAGAGGACAUGCUGUAUGGACCCUUUCAGAAUACAGAUGUGAUGUGUUCACCUGUUAGGUAAAUGCUUCCCCAGCACCCUAUGUUUGGCACUCUUCUCAUUAUAAUAAAGUCAUUAUUGUCUGUUGAACUUUAAGCUAAAACAAGAAGAGAUUGUGUCUUAUCACGUGACUUGACCCAAUGCUGGGGACACCAGUCCACCAACAGCCCCCAGGGCUUACUUAAAACCUGAGGCUGGGCUCUGCUGCCCAAUGACAUAGGAGCAAAUCUUACCAGGAUGCCACAUUCUUUGUGCCAUAAUUCACAUAGGAAAAGAGGUAGGGCUAGUGAGGACAAAAAUGCCAGAAAAUCACGUUUCUGUUCGCAUUUUAUUUCUUGCAUUUCUUGCUUGUCAGUAUGUCUUUCAGAAUCAAAGAGGGAGAAACCAAUUAAAAUAGCACAUUUAGGAUUAAAUUUCUCCUGGUAGAAUGCCAAGCUGAUUACCAAAGGUCACUAUUUUAGCGUUUCAUGGGUGCCUUUUUUUUUAAUCCUCCUACGCUGACUUUUUUUUUUUUAUCAUUUUCAAUACCUAUUUAAGUAAUUCAGCCCACUCAAUUAUUCUUUAACAAAUUUUUUAUCGAUGACCUCUCUCCAGCAUGGUAUGCAGGUUGCCUGCUAUUAGCUUAAUGUCAUACAAUUAAUAUCUUCUCGGUAUUCCUUCUCCAUUCAACAAGUCACGCUGGUAAGGGCCAACCUAUCUUUUAAAGGUAAACCUUGUCCAGUUCAACACAAGAAUGAAAUCACUAUAGAUCUAUUAUUUCUCGGAACAGAAUAUUCCCAUUUGCAUAAAAUAUUCUUCCUUUGAUAAGUUGCCAGGAAGCAACACCUCACGCCCAUUCUUCAUGGCGUUCUUUCUAUGGCAUUAAGAAUAGAAGAAAUUACCAUGGUGGCCUUAACACUAUUAUUCUCUCCCCUUGCUCCUCCUGGCCUCUUCUGAUUUACAGAAUCAUGCCUCUUUGAGAGCUCUGUCACUGAAUUGCCCAGAUAAUGGACAAAGGGGAACCUCUUACAUAAUGUAAUUUCACACUCAGGAAACCGGUUCAUAGGUUGGAAUAUUAGGGUCAGAGGCAGAGCCUAUAACCAUUGGUUUGGUUGAGAAAUAAUGGCCAGAGUCAAAAUUUAAAUAAAAUUUAAAUCUGAACAAGUCAAAUGAUCUACACGCCGUAGGGACCAGGGUAGGUAGGAGACCAAUAAUGUGCUUAAAUACCAAGGAGAAAAACAAGUUGCCACUCUUGGGGGGCAUGCUAUACUAUGAAAAAUAAUGCAACUGGUAGAAGAACAAGUGUCUUUUUUCAAAAUGUAAGUGUGUGACAUGAUGCUUUUAGGGAAACUAGUUCUGGUCCACAAGGAAAUGGGAGCGUUUUCCAUUUAGGAAUAAAGACUUCUAUUAAUAGGCAAGUGUGAUGGUUCAUCUUGUGUGUUAACUUGACUGAGCCACAGAGUGCCCAGCUAUCUGUUGACACAGCAUGCCGGUUGUGCCAGCAAAGGUGUUUCUAGAUGAGGUCAGCAUUUGAAUUGCAGACUGUGUCAAGCAGAUGGCCCUCCAUCAUGUGGGUGAGCCUUAUCCAAUCAGCUGAAGGCCAGAGUAGAACAGAAGGCUGACCUCGCCCCAGGCAAAGGAAACUUCUCUGGCCUGACUGCCUUCAGAUGCUGACAUCAGCUUUUUUCUGCCUCUGCACUCAAGUGGAAAUACCAGUUUCCUGGGUCUUAGGCCUCAGGACUAAAACUAAACCAUCAGCAGUCCUGGGUCUCCAGGGUGCUGCCCACUGAUACUGGGACUUGUCACCCUUCAUAAUCACGUGAGUCAUUUCAUUACAAUAAAGUUCUUGACAGAGAGCUACAUAUAUACCUAUGUACACAUCUACACAUUAUUUACUUCUAUAUACAUAUAUCCAGAUGAACUUGAACAACACCAGGACUGGGCUGUGACCCUCUUGUAGCCAAAACUCUGUGAAUAAUUUACGAUCACCCCUCUGAAUGCAAGCUUCCACAUCCUCAGAUCCUAGAGAUGUACAGAUAGACAAAUACAUAACUCUCUAUCGAAGGUUUAUUAUAAUGAAAUGACUCAUAUGAUUACAGAGGGUAACAAGUCCCAGGACCAUGCAUUUCAGACCCAUGUCAUUGAAGGGUCAGCUGUAGUUGGUUUCGUUUGUGGUUUUUCUAGAGACCAGGGAUUUCUCUUUGGUUGGCUCACUGUUCUAUCCCUGGCAACUAGGAUAGGAUGAGUCAAAUAAUAAAUGAACAAAUAAAUGAAAGAAAGGAUAGUCUGGGAACCAGAGAGGUUAAAUGAAUAGUCCUUAUCUAGGACGAAUCCAGGUCUUUCUGACUCCAGAGUCCAUAUUCCGGGAGCAGUUCUGUCCUCUGAGUUGCAGUCCAGCUGUCUCUCAAGUCAAUACCCCCACCAAGGAAUUCCUGGCAGAACAGAGUUGCUCCUGAAAGAGCAAAGCCUUGGGAUCCUGCUUUCUUGUCUCUGAACCCACCUGUGAUAAAACCAUUCCCCUUCUAGAAUCAACAUUUCUAGGGGUUAAUAAAAACAAAAAUUAUCAUCUGACAGCUGAUAAUGUUUGUCUAAAUGCUUGUGAAAUGUCACAAAACACACAUACAAUCUAAUGCCAGAGUUGGAAAAGAUCUGAGAGAUUAUUUUAGUCCAAACCCUCAUUUAGCUGAUAUGAUGUGUGGUCCUUCCUCCUUCAAUUGUGCUGAAUGAAAUGCAGAUGAACAUUUGAUGCCCACUUUUUUUUCUCUCAGAUUCAUAAGGCUUUUUCAUUUGUCUUCCAAAAGAAGGGGUGAGCGUGUCCUACAUCAAAUAUUCCUGCAUUCUCUGUGUCCUAGAGGGAAAGAUGAAGAACACUUACCUACAGGCAUAGGCACACCAAGUGUGUCCUUUGAAGGGCCUGUACUUAAUCCUGUACAACCCCUCUGAUGCCCAAGGAAGAAUGUUAGAAUAGCCGGCCCUGUGGUCCAGCCGGUCCUGAGACAGAGCACCGCUUCUCAGCGUGGUAUCCAGCCCGUGGAAGCCGUCAGGAAGGGAUGCCGUGUGACUCUGGAUGAGAGCUGGGCUGUCAACACAAGGCUGGGAAGGCCAGCGAGGCCACAGGCAGUUGCCAAAUUUGUUGUUAGAAAUAUUUAGAUUCUAUAUUUAAUAUUUGGAGCUCACCAUCCCUGCCUCCCAUGCACGUAGAGAAGCAGAGAUUCCAACAGACGGGAGGGUGGGUCGGUCCCUUUUAAAAAUCUGGCCGGCUUGGCUAUAAACGCCUGGCAAGCCGGAGCCUUCCUAGGAGCCAGGCCCCCGUCCAAGCCGCAUCCAUCCUCACUGCUGCCUGCCAGCCAGUUAGCAGGCGCAGAGGAGCCAGGAUUUAAGUGCAGUCUGUUCGCCCGCGAUGAGUCCUGGACCCCACGCUGCAGCCCU